AGCCGACCGAGCGGCUAUAAACAGGAUUUAGGCUCGGUGCGUCCUGCCGGAAACGGCAGGGGUAUCA
RNAcentral lists this ribozyme (67 nucleotides) under unclassified sequences. RNAcentral describes it as "pistol ribozyme". It matches the Rfam family "Pistol ribozyme". The record is from RNAcentral.